UACGAAGGGGGCUAGCGUUGUUCGGAAUCACUGGGCGUAAAGCGCACGUAGGCGGAUCUUUAAGUCAGAGGUGAAAUCCCAAGGCUCAACCUUGGAACUGCCUUUGAUACUGGGGAUCUUGAGUCCGGGAGAGGUGAGUGGAACUGCGAGUGUAGAGGUGAAAUUCGUAGAUAUUCGCAAGAACACCAGUGGCGAAGGCGGCUCGCUGGCACGGUACUGACGCUGAGGUGCGAAAGCGUGGGGAGCAAACAGG
Molecule: ribosomal RNA, 253 nt
Filed under: uncultured bacterium
Lineage: Bacteria
Description: partial 16S ribosomal RNA
Rfam family: Bacterial small subunit ribosomal RNA
Source: RNAcentral